UGGCAAAGAAGGGCAUGCUGAUCCUACCGGACAUCAUGGCCAACUCCGGCGGAGUGAUGGUGAGCUGCUUCGAGUGGGCUACUGGGCGUCCAAGAGGCACUUGACCUUGCCGGAUCACGCUGCCAUCGGCGUAAUCCAGGCCGGAUCUGUGGAGAGCCCGGCGCAGCACCGUCACAAAUUGAUAAGGGCCGGAGCUUCAAUGACAAAUCCACUAUAUUCAGCACAUAGCCCAACUCAGCAGGCACGAGCCAUGUCGACAGUCGGGGUGGCACUCGGGUGCAUGCUCGCCUUGACAGUCAUCAAGGUCGCAAUAGAGUCGGUGGAGGUUGUGCUCGGCGACGCUGAGAGAGAGUCUAUCAAGCAUAAGUCCAUGCUGUUGUGGCUGAAGCGACUUAUGGAUGCCGACAUGCUUGAAGAUUUUGAAGAUGAAACCGACCUCAACCUGUGGGCAGCCACGAUGAAGAAGAAUAAGAUGCCACAUAACAUGAGAUCGAUGCAAAAGCGCAUAGAAAAGAUAAAAGAGGACCGUGAGGAGCGGCAAGGUCCCGACAUCCAGGAUACAACAGGAUAUGUGGAGGAGGCAGAAAUCAUCUGGAGGACUGAUGAUUGCAUAUCUUGGAGCAGCAGUUAUUUCCCCCUCCUUUUGACUACAGUGGUUGGAGUCAGUAGGUAGUGAUUAGAGUAAGUAGGAGAGGCUGACAUUUGACAAUACGAUUCUGUGUGUGCAUUGACUGCUGGUGCUGCAGCCUGUAAUUUUUCUUGUGGAGUGGACCGAAGUAAUCCAUCAAGCUAGCUGCAUUAUUGAUUCUGUUCCUUUUGCUGGCGAGGUUUUGCACUAGGUGUACCAGCAGAAGUCUGUGCUUUCCAUGCGUCAAACCCAGGAGUUGAUGAAAACUUGCCAUUGCUUGGUUGCUCUUGUUCCUAAAAUUAGAAGUUGGUCAAUGAACAGAAAUUAUCUCAUAUUAGCAAGGUGAUGGGCCAUAGUUAUCACAUGUCUCCAACUUCGUCCUCCAGCUUGGACAACCUAGGUUGAGUGGCAAUUUUACCCCUUAUGUUUAUCACGUCUUCGGUCACGGCGUUCUAACCAUGAUGCGAAUAGGUGGAUGAAGAGGAAGCAGUACCGUCGUAUCGCACAGGCCAGGUGGGUGGUGGCCGCUGGCUCCGAUUCCCUGGGUGGCUGGGUGUGGCUGGCGGCUCCGAUCGCGCCCGUCAGGAGGGUGGCGUUGGCGUUCGAGCUGACUGCGUGUAGUGUCCACGGAGAGAGUUCGAUGCUGGCGACGAGCAUAGAGAGGCGGAUCACGAUGUUGUGACGGAGAAAAUUUCAGAGAAAACCCAUAAGAUCUCAUGAUGGGUUCAUGCACAGAAUAAGCGGAACCCAUUCUUUGGUUUUAAAUCAUCUCAUGCGUUGCCUUAGUUCUAACUGAUGACAUGAGCUGACAUUCUCACCUUCAAUCCAACGUGUGGAUGCAGAACAAGCAGUGACGUCGUAUUCCGCAGGCUGGAUGGGCGGUCGCCAGCGGCUCCGUUCCCGUGGGUGAGGACGGCGGCUCCGUUACAGCCGGUGAACAGGGCAACGGCGUUCGAUGGGACUGGCGUUGGAGGAGAAGGUCGCGCGUGAGAAGGCGCCUGGACUGGAAUAUGAAUGGAGAAUCGGCGUUGGAGCCGGCUAGGCCAGUUGGAUCGGAGGUUGUUGCAGAUAAUGGGGAGGUGGGAGUGGAGUUUGGGAGGGCCGAUCGUUACGGGUGUGAUAAGUAUUAAUCCAUCGACGAGCCAAAAAUUGGAUGGCGCCUUUAAAGUCGGAAAGAGGUUGAUUGAUGAAACACCAUUUCUUUUGGCACGUCAUUUUUUUGAAUCUGCCACGUCUGUUUUUGGCUUGAGCGCGGGCUUAGGCGAUCUCUUUGGCCAAACUAA
This is an RNA transcript of Triticum dicoccoides, 1911 nucleotides long. RefSeq lists it as uncharacterized. The record is from RefSeq and is a predicted model, not a curated record. Lineage: Eukaryota; Viridiplantae; Streptophyta; Magnoliopsida; Poales; Poaceae. The transcript is spliced from 7 exons.